GUGUCAGCAGCCGCGGUAAAACGUAGGAGCCUAGCGUUAUCCGAAUUCACUGGGCGUAAAGCGCGUGCAGGCGGUUCGGUAAGUUGGAUGUGAAAUCUCCUGGCUCAACUGGGAGAGGACGUUCAAGACUGUCGGACUAGAGGACGGUAGAGGAAGGUAGAAUUCCCGGUGUAGUGGUGAAAUGCGUAGAUAUCGGGAGGAAUACCAGUGGCGAAGGCGGCCUUCUGGGCCGUUCCUGACGCUCAGACGCGAAAGCUAGGGGAGCAAACGGGAUUAGAAACCCCGGUAGUCCUAGCCGUAAACGAUGUAGACUUGGUGUCGGUGGGGUAAAAGCCAGCGGUGCCGAAGCAAACGCGAUAAGUCUACCGCCUGGGGACUACGGCCGCAAGGUUAAA
This 395-nucleotide ribosomal RNA is filed under the name uncultured bacterium. RNAcentral's name for it is "bacterial SSU rRNA". It matches the Rfam family "Bacterial small subunit ribosomal RNA", at positions 505 to 898 of the family's 1533-position model. The record is from RNAcentral.